RNAcentral lists this ribosomal RNA (450 nucleotides) under uncultured bacterium. RNAcentral describes it as "partial 16S ribosomal RNA". It matches the Rfam family "Bacterial small subunit ribosomal RNA", at positions 354 to 796 of the family's 1533-position model. The record is from RNAcentral.
GUGGGGAAUAUUCCGCAAUGGACGAAAGUCUGACGGAGCAACGCCGCGUGAGUGAUGAAGGUUUUCGGACUGUAAAGCUCUGUUGUUUAGGACGAAAGUGCCUGUUGCGAACAGUUACAGGUAUUGACGGUACUAAACGAGGAAGCCACGGCUAACUACGUGCCAGCAGCCGCGGUAAUACGUAGGUGGCAAGCGUUGUCCGGAAUUAUUGGGCGUAAAGAGCAUGUAGGCGGAGGUUUAAGUUUGUUGUGAAAAUGCGGGGCUCAACCCCGUAUUGCGAUGGAAACUGGGUUUCUUGAGUGCAGGAGAGGAAAGGGGAAUUCCCAGUGUAGCGGUGAAAUGCGUAGAUAUUGGGAGGAACACCAGUGGCGAAGGCGCCUUUCUGGACUGUGUCUGACGCUGAGAUGCGAAAGCCAGGGUAGCGAACGGGAUUAGAAACCCCUGUAGUCC